AGGGGUCUUGGCCUCUGCCCAG
This 22-nucleotide microRNA is filed under the name Ovis aries (sheep). Its description in RNAcentral is "oar-miR-665-5p". Its record names the gene oar-miR-665-5p. Lineage: Eukaryota; Metazoa; Chordata; Mammalia; Artiodactyla; Bovidae. The record is from miRBase by way of RNAcentral.